UACGGAAGGUCCGGGCGUUAUCCGGAUUUAUUGGGUUUAAAGGGAGCGUAGGCGGGACUCCAAGUCAGCUGUGAAAUGCCAUGGCUCAACCAUGGAGCUGCAGUUGAAACUGGUGUUCUUGAGUUGUCGCAGGGGCGGUGGAACUCGUGGUGUAGCGGUGAAAUGCUUAGAUAUCACGAAGAACUCCGAUCGCGAAGGCAGCCGCCCGGUGGCCGACUGACGCUGAGGCUCGAAGGUGCGGGUAUCAAACAGG
Molecule: ribosomal RNA, 253 nt
Filed under: uncultured bacterium
Lineage: Bacteria
Description: partial 16S ribosomal RNA
Rfam family: Bacterial small subunit ribosomal RNA
Source: RNAcentral